GACGAACGCUGGCGGCGUGCUUAACACAUGCAAGUCGUACGGUAAGGCCCUUUCGGGGGUACACGAGUGGCGAACGGGUGAGUAACACGUGAGUAACCUGCCCACAACUUUGGGAUAACGCUAGGAAACUGGUGCUAAUACUGGAUAUGUGCUCCUGCUGCAUGGUGGGUGUUGGAAAGCUCCGGCGGUUGUGGAUGGACUCGCGGCCUAUCAGCUUGUUGGUGGGGUAGUGGCCUACCAAGGCGGCGACGGGUAGCCGGCCUGGGAGGGUGACCGGCCACAUUGGGACUGAGAUACGGCCCAGACUCCUACGGGAGGCAGCAGUGGGGAAUAUUGCACAAUGGGCGCAAGCCUGAUGCAGCAACGCCGCGUGCGGGAUGACGGCCUUCGGGUUGUGAACCGAUUUCAGCAGGGACGAAGCUUUUUGUGACGGUACCUGCAGAAGAAGCACCGGCUAACUACGUG
This 465-nucleotide ribosomal RNA is filed under the name uncultured bacterium. Its description in RNAcentral is "partial 16S ribosomal RNA". It matches the Rfam family "Bacterial small subunit ribosomal RNA", at positions 28 to 507 of the family's 1533-position model. The record is from RNAcentral.